RNAcentral lists this ribosomal RNA (468 nucleotides) under uncultured bacterium. Its description in RNAcentral is "partial 16S ribosomal RNA". It matches the Rfam family "Bacterial small subunit ribosomal RNA", at positions 28 to 507 of the family's 1533-position model. The record is from RNAcentral.
GACGAACGCUGGCGGCGUGCUUAACACAUGCAAGUCGAACGGAAAGGCCCUGCUUUUGUGGGGUGCUCGAGUGGCGAACGGGUGAGUAACACGUGAGUAACCUGCCCUUGACUUUGGGAUAACUUCAGGAAACUGGGGCUAAUACCGGAUAGGAGCUCCCGCUGCAGGGGGGGGGUUGGAAAGUUUUGGCGGUUGGGGAUGGACGCGCGGCUUAUCAGCUUGUUGGUGGGGUAGUGGCUUACCAAGGCUUUGACGGGUAGCCGGCCUGAGAGGGUGAACGGCCACAUUGGGACUGAGAUACGGCCCAGACUCCUACGGGAGGCAGCAGUGGGGAAUAUUGCACAAUGGGCGGAAGCCUGAUGCAGCGACGCCGCGUGCGGGAUGACGGCCUUCGGGUUGUAAACCGCUUUCGCCUGUGACGAAGCGUGAGUGACGGUAAUGGGUGAAGAAGCACCGGCUAACUACGUG